AAGAUAUUGAUUUGGCUUUUAAGCAACUUCAUGAAGGUGUAGAUGUUGAGGAAGUAGUUCUUGCAAGCAUGAUUGAGGAUCAGCUGGAUCAUGAAGAUUUCACUUCAAAGUUACCUGUUGUCGAGGCAAGAUCUCUGGAGGAUAUACAUAAUGCUUUCCAAAAAGGUCCAGAACCUAAUCUGGCCGAGCUGCCACUUUCCACAGACUUGAGAAAUGGAUCAUCAGAAAUGGAGCAGCAUGAUGUGGUUUCUAAUAAAGAGAUUGAAGUUGGCCGUGCCGUCUCUGGCAUUCAAGAAAAUAGUCAGAAUUCUGCCGGUGAACCAAAAAAUGACCAUGAAGAAACAGAGGAAAUGAAGAUGGAGACCAAUGCAGAGCUGCCUGUUCUUGAAGCAAGAUCAUUGGAAGACAUUGAUUUGGCUUUUAAGCAAUUUCAUGAAGGAGUUGAUGUUGAGGAAAUAAUUCUUCCAAG
Molecule: long non-coding RNA, 469 nt
Filed under: Gossypium barbadense (sea-island cotton)
Lineage: Eukaryota; Viridiplantae; Streptophyta; Magnoliopsida; Malvales; Malvaceae
Description: long non-coding RNA (GBAR_LNC022644)
Source: RNAcentral